UUACAUUCUCAUGGUGCUGUAGG
Molecule: non-coding RNA, 23 nt
Filed under: Cricetulus griseus (Chinese hamster)
Lineage: Eukaryota; Metazoa; Chordata; Mammalia; Rodentia; Cricetidae
Source: RNAcentral